CCCACUGAAAUCAAAAGCAAAAUCUUCAUCUGGGUUAUCUUUCUCUUUUGGGAUUUCUUCCCAAUUGAAUUCAUCGUAAAGAGGGGAAAUCCGAGUAGGACUAGCAGGUGCACUAUAAAACAACGUGGCAGUACGUGGAGGACUUAAUAGAGCACUCAUGUACGGAGUAAAACAACCAUUGUCGAUGUUGAACGAAAGAGAUGGUGGAAGAACAAUCAGAGGGGAAGAGAAAUGAAGAACAAUGAAGGAGAAGUUUGCACGUGGAGGACUUGACGGAGCACUCAUGUAAGGAGUAGUACAACCACUGUCGAUGUUGAAAUCCACCGGCGCCGGAGAUUGCAUCAUCACCUCUUUUUCCAUUUUAUGCACACCAACUGUUCG
This 381-nucleotide long non-coding RNA is filed under the name Solanum tuberosum (potato). RNAcentral's name for it is "long non-coding RNA (STUB_LNC002430)". The record is from RNAcentral. Lineage: Eukaryota; Viridiplantae; Streptophyta; Magnoliopsida; Solanales; Solanaceae.